AAGAAAGCCAAUGGACCUGGGGAAAGUAGCCAGGCUCAUGGAAAUAAUGGUUUCACAGUCAAGUGUCACUUUUGUGGCAAGAAGGGACAUGUGAAGAAGGACUGUAACAAGCGUAAGGCUUGGUUCGAAAAGAAGGGGAUACCUUUCAACCCGGAAACCGAAGGAAAGUGAAAGAUUUGUCUUUAUGGGGAACCGUCUCAAGGUUGAAGUGGUAGCUGUUGGUACCUAUCGCUUGGUUUUAGAGACGGGUCAUCAGAUAGAUCUUGAAGACACAUUUUAUGUUCCCUCUAUUUCUAGGAAUUUGGUUUCUUUAUCUAGAUUAGUUUGUUCUGGAUAUUCAGUUUCAUUUGGUUGUCGAAAACUCAAAUUGAUGUUUAAUUCAAUAAUGGUUGGUUCUGGU
This is a long non-coding RNA of Rhododendron vialii, 400 nucleotides long. RefSeq lists it as uncharacterized. NCBI's taxonomy places the organism in Eukaryota, Viridiplantae, Streptophyta, Magnoliopsida, Ericales, Ericaceae. The record is from RefSeq and is a predicted model, not a curated record. The transcript has 2 exons.